GACGAACGCUGGCGGCGUGCCUAAUACAUGCAAGUCGAACGCACUCUCGUUUAGAUUGAAGGAGCUUGCUCCUGAUUGAUAAACAUUUGAGUGAGUGGCGGACGGGUGAGUAACACGUGGGUAACCUGCCCUAAAGUGGGGGAUAACAUUUGGAAACAGAUGCUAAUACCGCAUAAAACCUAACACCGCAUGGUGUAGGGUUGAAAGAUGGUUUCGGCUAUCACUUUAGGAUGGACCCGCGGUGCAUUAGUUAGUUGGUGAGGUAAAGGCUCACCAAGACCGUGAUGCAUAGCCGACCUGAGAGGGUAAUCGGCCACACUGGACUGAGACACGGCCCAGACUCUACGGAGGCAGCAGUAGGGAAUCUUCCACAAUGGACGAAAGUCUGAUGGAGCAACGCCGCGUGAGUGAAGAAGGUUUCGGAUCGUAAAACUCUGUUGUU
This 442-nucleotide ribosomal RNA is filed under the name uncultured bacterium. RNAcentral's name for it is "bacterial SSU rRNA". It matches the Rfam family "Bacterial small subunit ribosomal RNA", at positions 28 to 440 of the family's 1533-position model. The record is from RNAcentral.